Molecule: transfer RNA, 76 nt
Filed under: Streptococcus salivarius
Lineage: Bacteria; Bacillati; Bacillota; Bacilli; Lactobacillales; Streptococcaceae
Also listed under: 10 other names
Description: tRNA-Asp
Rfam family: tRNA
About the family: Transfer RNA (tRNA) molecules are approximately 80 nucleotides in length. Their secondary structure includes four short double-helical elements and three loops (D, anti-codon, and T loops). Further hydrogen bonds mediate the characteristic L-shaped molecular structure. tRNAs have two regions of fundamental functional importance: the anti-codon, which is responsible for specific mRNA codon recognition, and the 3' end, to which the tRNAs corresponding amino acid is attached (by aminoacyl-tRNA synthetases). tRNAs cope with the degeneracy of the genetic code in two manners: having more than one tRNA (with a specific anti-codon) for a particular amino acid; and 'wobble' base-pairing, i.e. permitting non-standard base-pairing at the 3rd anti-codon position.
Source: RNAcentral
GGUCCCGUGGUGUAGCGGUUAUCACGUCGCCCUGUCACGGCGAAGAUCGCGGGUUCGAUUCCCGUCGGGACCGUCA